This 443-nucleotide ribosomal RNA is filed under the name uncultured bacterium. RNAcentral describes it as "partial 16S ribosomal RNA". It matches the Rfam family "Bacterial small subunit ribosomal RNA", at positions 338 to 795 of the family's 1533-position model. The record is from RNAcentral.
CCUACGGGAGGCAGCAGUGGGGAAUAUUGGGCAAUGGGCGCAAGCCUGACCCAGCAACGCCGCGUGAAGGAAGAAGGCUUUCGGGUUGUAAACUUCUUUUAUCAGGGACGAAACAAAUGACGGUACCUGAUGAAUAAGCCACGGCUAACUACGUGCCACCAGCCGCGGUAAUACGUAGGUGGCAAGCAGUAUCCGGAUUUACUGGGUGUAAAGGGCUUGUAGGGCGGCCUGCAAGUCCGAUGUGAAAUUCGAGGGCUCAACCCUGUAUCUGCAUUUGAAACUGUUGGUCUUGAGUGCUGGAGAGGCAAUCGGAAUGCCGUGUGUAGCGGUGAAAUGCGUAGAUAUACGGAGGAACACCAGUUGCGAAGGCGGAUUGCUGGACAGUAACUGACGCUGAGGCGCGAAAGCGUGGGGAGCAAACAGGAUUAGAUACCCUUGUAGUC